GCGCAGCAGGCGAGAAAACUUCACACUGCGCGAAAGCGCGAUGAGGGAAUCCCAAGUGCUUGCACGUAAGUGUAAGCUGUUUCUCUGUCUAAAAAGCAGAGAGAGUAAGGGCUGGGUAAGACGGGUGCCAGCCGCCGCGGUAAUACCUGCAGCUCAAGUGGUGGCCGCUAUUAUUGGGCCUAAAACGUCCGUAGCCGGUCUAGUAAAUGCCUGGGUAAAUCGUGAGGCUUAACCUUACGAAUUCCGGGUAGACUGCUAGACUUGAGACCGGGAGAGGCUAGAGGUACUCCUGGGGUAGAGGUGAAAGUUCUGUAAUCCUAGGGGGACCACCAGUGGCGAAGGCGUCUAGCUAGAACGGGUCUGACGGUGAGGGACGAAGCCCUGGGGCGCAAACCGGAUUAGAUA
Molecule: ribosomal RNA, 405 nt
Filed under: uncultured microorganism
Description: bacterial SSU rRNA
Rfam family: Archaeal small subunit ribosomal RNA
Source: RNAcentral